UGCCUGGGACAGUAUGGUGGGUGGGAGGAUCACAGGACCUGUGUGCCAGUGACUUGGGUUUGAGUCCCAGCUCUGGCUUUACUGAGUUAAGUUGCUUUCAGAAAGUCAUUCAACCUCUGUGGGCCUUAUUUUCAGUGAUAAGACAUAUGGGGAAUGAUUACCUUUUAGUCCCAUCCUGUGACAGUAUGGUUUGUUUCUAAAGCCUGGUUGGCACUGACUUCUCACCCUGCUGU
Long non-coding RNA from Sapajus apella (tufted capuchin), 233 nucleotides. RefSeq lists it as uncharacterized. NCBI's taxonomy places the organism in Eukaryota, Metazoa, Chordata, Mammalia, Primates, Cebidae. The record is from RefSeq and is a predicted model, not a curated record. The transcript has 3 exons.